UAAAAGCUGAAAAAACUCAUCAUAGUGUAAAAUCAACUCUUACUGGAGGAGAACCACUUGCAUUGAGUAGACGAUGUCGCCGACUGAAAUGUCCACCCUAAAACUCGGUCCACCCUGCCUUCACUGUGCAUGCGUCAUCAGCCGCAGUUCACUGAUUA
Molecule: long non-coding RNA, 158 nt
Organism: Thalassophryne amazonica
Lineage: Eukaryota; Metazoa; Chordata; Actinopteri; Batrachoidiformes; Batrachoididae
Exons: 3
Source: RefSeq, a predicted model, not a curated record